UACUGCUAUCAGUGUUCGAUUAAGCCAUGCGAGUUAAAUGUUCUUCGUGAACAUGGCGUACUGCUCAGUAACACGUGGAUAACCUGCCCUAAGGUCCGGCAUAACCCCGGGAAACUGGGGAUAAUACCGGAUAAACCAUAGAUACUGGAAUGUUCUGUGGUUAAAAGUUCCGGCGCCUUAGGAUGGAUCUGCGGCCUAUCAGGUAGUAGUGGGUGUAAAGUACCUACUAGCCGACGACGGGUACGGGUUGUGAGAGCAAGAGCCCGGAGAUGGAUUCUGAGACAUGAAUCCAGGCCCUACGGGGCGCAGCAGGCGCGAAAUCUUUACAAUGCGGGAAACCGCGAUAAGGGGACACUGAGUGCCAGCAUAUUAUGUUGGCUGUCCACCUGUAUAAAUCACAGGUGUUAGCAAGGGCCGGGCAAGACCGGUGCCAGCCGCCGCGGUAACACCGGCGGCCCGAGUGGUAGCCACUAUUAUUGGGUCUAAAGGGUCCGUAGCCGGUUUGAUCAGUCUUCCGGGAAAUCUGACAGCUCAACUGUUAGGCUUCCGGGGGAUACUGUCAGGCUUGGGACCGGGAGAGGUAAGAGGUACUACAGGGGUAGGAGUGAAAUCUUGUAAUCCCUGUGGGACCACCAGUGGCGAAGGCGUCUUACCAGAACGGGUCCGACGGUGA
This 673-nucleotide ribosomal RNA is filed under the name uncultured archaeon. RNAcentral describes it as "bacterial SSU rRNA". It matches the Rfam family "Archaeal small subunit ribosomal RNA", at positions 25 to 700 of the family's 1478-position model. The record is from RNAcentral.